GACGAACGCUGGCGGCGUGCUUAACACAUGCAAGUCGAACGCUGAAGGCCUGGCUUUUGUUGGGUUGGAUGAGUGGCGGACGGGUGAGUAACACGUGAGUAACCUGCCCUCUUCUUUGGGAUAACGCCCGGAAACGGGUGCUAAUACUGGAUAUUCACUGAUCUUCGCAUGGGGGUUGGUGGAAAGGUUUGUUCUGGUGGGGGAUGGGCUCGCGGCCUAUCAGCUUGUUGGUGGGGUGAUGGCCUACCAAGGCUUUGACGGGUAGCCGGCCUGAGAGGGUGACCGGUCACAUUGGGACUGAGAUACGGCCCAGACUCCUACGGGAGGCAGCAGUGGGGAAUAUUGCACAAUGGGCGAAAGCCUGAUGCAGCGACGCCGCGUGAGGGAUGGAGGCCUUCGGGUUGUAAACCUCUUUCGCUCAUGGUCAAGCCGCAACUGUGGGUUGUGGUGAGGGUAGUGGGUAAAGAAGCGCCGGCUAACUACGUG
RNAcentral lists this ribosomal RNA (486 nucleotides) under uncultured bacterium. Its description in RNAcentral is "partial 16S ribosomal RNA". It matches the Rfam family "Bacterial small subunit ribosomal RNA", at positions 28 to 507 of the family's 1533-position model. The record is from RNAcentral.